GACCAGACUCCUACGGGAGGCAGCAGUGAGGAAUAUUGGUCAAUGGCCGGGAGGCUGAACCAGUCAAGUCGCGUGAGGGAAGACGGCUCUACGGGUUGUAAACCUCUUUUGUCAGGGAGCAAGGUGCAGGUCGGGGCCUGCUGUGAGAGUACCUGAAGAAAAAGCAUCGGCUAACUCCGUGCCAGCAGCCGCGGUAAUACGGAGGAUGCGAGCGUUAUCCGGAUUUAUUGGGUUUAAAGGGUGCGUAGGCGGGAUGCCAAGUCAGCGGUAAAAAUGCGGUGCUCAACGCCGUCGAGCCGUUGAAACUGGCGUUCUUGAGUGGGCGAGAAGUAUGCGGAAUGCGUGGUGUAGCGGUGAAAUGCAUAGAUAUCACGCAGAACUCCGAUUGCGAAGGCAGCAUACCGGCGCCCUACUGACGCUGAGGCACGAAAGCGUGGGUAUCGAACAGGAUUAGAUACCCUCGUA
RNAcentral lists this ribosomal RNA (465 nucleotides) under uncultured bacterium. Its description in RNAcentral is "bacterial SSU rRNA". It matches the Rfam family "Bacterial small subunit ribosomal RNA", at positions 329 to 792 of the family's 1533-position model. The record is from RNAcentral.